UGUGUGGCAUACGGCUCAGUAACACGUAGUCAGCAUGCCCAGGGGACGUGGAUAACCUCGGGAAACUGAGGAUAAACCGCGAUAGGUCACUACUUCUGGAAUGGGUAAUGACCCAAACCUAUAUGGCCCCUGGAUUGGACUGCGGCCGAUCAGGCUGUUGGUGAGGUAAUGGCCCACCAAACCUGUAACCGGUACGGGCUCUGAGAGGAGGAGCCCGGAGAUGGGCACUGAGACAAGGGCCCAGGCCCUAUGGGGCGCAGCAGGCGCGAAACCUCUGCAAUAGGCGAAAGCUUGACAGGGUUACUCUGAGUGAUUUCCGUUAAGGAGAUCUUUUGGCACCUCUAAAAAUGGUGCAGAAUAAGGGGUGGGCAAGUCUGGUGUCAGCCGCCGCGGUAAUACCAGCACCCCGAGUGGUCGGGACGUUUAUUGGGCCUAAAGCAUCCGUAGCCGGUUCCACAAGUCUUCCGUUAAAUCCACCCGCUCAACAGAUGGGCUGCGGAAGAUACUAUGGAGCUAGGAGGCGGGAGAGGCAAGCGGUACUCGAUGGGUAGGGGUAAAAUCCGUUGAUCCAUUGAAGACCACCAGUGGCGAAGGCGGCUUGCCAGAACGCGCUCGACGGUGAGGGAUGAAAGCUGGGGGAGCAAACCGGAUUAGAUACCCGGGUAGUCCCAGCUGUAAACGAUGCAGACUCGGUGAUGAGUUGGCUUUAUGCCAACUCAGUGCCGCAGGGAAGCCGUUAAGUUUGCCGCCUGGGGAGUACGGUCGCAAGACUGAAACUUAAAGGAAUUGGCGGGGGAGCACCACAAGGGGUGAAGCCUGCGGUUCAAUUGGAUUCAACGCCGGG
Molecule: ribosomal RNA, 844 nt
Filed under: uncultured archaeon
Lineage: Archaea
Description: bacterial SSU rRNA
Rfam family: Archaeal small subunit ribosomal RNA
Source: RNAcentral